This 86-nucleotide transfer RNA is filed under the name Podoviridae sp. ct8Lf7. RNAcentral's name for it is "tRNA-Thr". It matches the Rfam family "tRNA". Rfam says of the family: Transfer RNA (tRNA) molecules are approximately 80 nucleotides in length. Their secondary structure includes four short double-helical elements and three loops (D, anti-codon, and T loops). Lineage: Duplodnaviria; Heunggongvirae; Uroviricota; Caudoviricetes. The record is from RNAcentral.
GCCUUCUUGGGACAGUGGUCGACUCCGCUUGACUUGUAAUCAAGAUACUUCGGUGCAACGUAGGUUCGAAUCCUACAGAAGGCUCA